CCUACGGGGGGCAGCAGUAGGGAAUAUUGCACAAUGGGGGAAACCCUGAUGCAGCAACGCCGCGUGAGUGAAGAAGGCCCUUGGGUUGUAAAGCUCUUUAGCGAGGGAAGAAGCUCAGCUUACCUAAUACGUAAGUUGGAUGACGGUACCUCGAGAAUAAGCACCGGCUAAUUUCGUGCCAGCAGCCGCGGUAAUACGAAAGGUGCAAGCGUUACUCGGAAUCACUGGGCGUAAAGCGCACGUAGGCGGAUUCGUAUGUCAAUUGUGAAAGCCCUGGGCUCAACCCGGGAAUUGCAGUUGAAACUGCGUUUCUUGAAUACCUGAGAGGGUGGGGGAAUACCUAGUGGAGAAGUGAAAUUCGUAGAGAUUAGGUGGAACACCGGAGGCGAAGGCGCCUGCCUGGCAGUGUAUUGACGCUGAGGUGCGAAAGUGUGGGGAGCAAACAGGAUUAGAUACCCCUGUAGUC
Molecule: ribosomal RNA, 466 nt
Filed under: uncultured bacterium
Lineage: Bacteria
Description: bacterial SSU rRNA
Rfam family: Bacterial small subunit ribosomal RNA
Source: RNAcentral